AAGGUGGAUUUAUUAGUAAUUAUAUUUUAAUAAUGUGUGAUGGAGAAUGGAAUAGCAUGUGUACAUAUUGCCCGUCGCUCUCGUUGUUUCGAGAUAAGUCGUAACAUAGUUGAUGUACUGGAAAGUGCAUCUUUUUG
RNAcentral lists this ribosomal RNA (137 nucleotides) under Parafontaria erythrosoma. RNAcentral describes it as "partial small subunit ribosomal RNA". The record is from RNAcentral. Lineage: Eukaryota; Metazoa; Arthropoda; Diplopoda; Polydesmida; Xystodesmidae.